RNAcentral lists this non-coding RNA (30 nucleotides) under Rattus norvegicus (Norway rat). Lineage: Eukaryota; Metazoa; Chordata; Mammalia; Rodentia; Muridae. The record is from RNAcentral.
AUCUGUAUUUCCACUCUUGUCCUUGCAGGU